UGGGGAAUAUUGGGCAAUGGGCGCAAGCCUGACCCAGCAACGCCGCGUGAAGGAAGAAGGUCUUCGGAUUGUAAACUUCUGUCAUUGGGGACGAAGGAAGUGGCGGUACCCAAUGAGGAAGCCCCGGCUAACUACGUGCCAGCAGCCGCGGUAAUACGUAGGGGGCGAGCGUUGUCCGGAAUUACUGGGCGUAAAGGGUGCGUAGGCGGCGAUGCAAGUCCAUUGUGAAAAGCCCGGGCUUAACCUGGGAGGUGCAGUGGAGACUGCAUGGCUUGAGUGCAGGAGAGGAAAGUGGAAUUCCUAGUGUAGCGGUGAAAUGCGUAGAUAUUAGGAGGAACACCAGUGGCGAAGGCGGCUUUCUGGACUGUAACUGACGCUGAGGCACGAAAGCGUGGGGAGCAAACAG
This 406-nucleotide ribosomal RNA is filed under the name uncultured bacterium. RNAcentral's name for it is "bacterial SSU rRNA". It matches the Rfam family "Bacterial small subunit ribosomal RNA", at positions 355 to 775 of the family's 1533-position model. The record is from RNAcentral.